RNAcentral lists this ribosomal RNA (2911 nucleotides) under Ziziphus jujuba (common jujube). Its description in RNAcentral is "bacterial LSU rRNA". The stretch from base 729 to 2822 matches the Rfam family "Bacterial large subunit ribosomal RNA". Lineage: Eukaryota; Viridiplantae; Streptophyta; Magnoliopsida; Rosales; Rhamnaceae. The record is from RNAcentral.
UGUGAAAAAAAUACCAAUUAAAUUGGAAGGGUUUCUUCAAACAACAAGGAGCUGGGUCAGCUAUUCAAUAAAAUGAUAUUAAGCAUGUUUCCCAUCUUUUCUUGAGAAACAAGUGGCCUAUUUCUUUGCAAAAUUGUGCUCAAUUUCAUAUGUAGUAGUUUCGCCAAGAUCUCUUCUUUAGUUGGGGGAAGAAUCGACAUGAAUCCCCUUUUUUGAGGAACAUAUCGAGAGACAAUUAGAUUUGGUUAGACAAUGUGUGGUUGGUAAACAAGGAUCGAUUUUUUUAGCAAGGUACAGAAUGUAACAUCAAAUAUUCAAUAUGAUUCCACAAGAUCUAGUUUUGUUCAAGUAAUGGAUUCUAGCUAAUUGAAAGGAUCUUCUGAUUGAUCCAGAGAUCAUUUUGAUUCCAUUAGUAAUGAGGAUUCAAAAUAUCGCACAUUGAUCAAUCAAAAAGAGAUUCAACAACUAAAAGAAAGAUCGAUUCUUUGGGAUCCUUCCUUUCUUCAAACGGAACGAACCUCAAUGUCUUGGCUAUUCACAAAACAUGAGAAGCAGAUGAAUAAUCAUCCACUUCAGGAAGAAAUCGAAGAAUUUUUAAGGAAUCCUCAAUCUUUUUUCUCUGAUAGAUGGUCAAAACUUCAUUUGGGUUCGAAUCCUACUAAGAGGUAGACUCGAGGUUAGAAAUUGUUGAAGAAAGAAAAAGAUGUUUAUUUUGUCCUUUACAGGUGAUCGAAAAAUAAAGAAAUAGUUAAUGUAUUCAAGAUAAUUACAUAUUUACAAAAUACUGUCUCAAUUCAUCCUAUUUCAUUAGAUCUGGGAUGUGAUAUGGUUCUGAAGGAUGAACUGGAUAGUUCCAAUAAGAUUUCAUUCUUGAACAAGAAUCCUUUUUUUGAUUUAUUUCAACUAUUCCAUGACCUCAAAAUAACGAGGGUCAAGGUCGGCCAGUGAGACGAUGGGGGAUAAGCAUCAUCGUCGAGAGGGAAACAACCCGGAUCACCAGCUAAGGCCCAUAAAUGACUGCUUAGUGAUAAAGGUGGUAGGGGUGCAGAGACAGUCGGGAGGUUUUCUUAGAAGUAGCCGCCCUUGAAAUAGGGCAUAAUAGCUCACCGAUCGAGCGUUCUUACACCGAAGAUGAACGGGGCUAGGCGACCUACCGAAGCUGUGUGAUGUAAAAAUGCACCGGUAGGGGAGCGUUCCACCUAGAGAGAAGCACCCACGCAAGCAGUGGUAGACGAAGCAGAAGCAAGAAUGUCAGCUUGAGUAACGCAAACAUUGGUGAGAAUCCAGUGCCCCAAAAACCUAAGGGUUCCUCCUCAGGGUUUGUCCACGGAGGGUGAGUCAGGGCCUAAGAUCAGGCCGAAAGGCAUAGUCGAUGGACAAUAGGUGAAUAUUCUUGUAUUACCCCUUAUUGGUCUCGAGGGACAGUGGAGGCUAGGUUAGCCGACAUAUGGUUAUCAGUUCAAGGACACAAGUUGUCCCUGCUUUUUCAGGAUAAGAAGGGGUAAAGAAAAUGCCUCGAGCCAAUGUUCGAGUGCCAGGCGCUACGGUGUUGAAGUAACCCAUGCCAUACUACUAGGAAAAGCUCAAACGACUCAAAAAAAGGGUACCUAUGCCCAAAACUGACACAGUGGGUAGGUAGAGAAUACCUAGGGGCGCGAGACAACUCUCUCUAAGGAACUCACAAAAUAGCCCCAUAACUUCGGGAGAAGGGAUGGUUCCUUAUAAAGGGGAUUGCAGUGACCAGGCUCGGGUGACUAUUUACCAAAAACAAAGGUCUCCUCAAAGUCAAAUGACCAUAUAUGGGAGCUAAUGCGUGCCCAGUAUUGGAAGGUCAAGGAAGUUAGAGAUCUGAUGAAAGGGGAGCCGACGACUGAAGCCCCGGUGAACGAUGGCAUAACUAUAACGGUCAUAAGGUAGCAAAAUUCCUUAUCGGGUAAGUUUCAACUUCCACGAAAGGCGUAAUGAUCUAGGCACUGUCUCGGAGAGAGGCUUGAUGAAAUUGACAUGUCUGUGAAGAUGUGGACUACUGUACUUAGACAGAAAGAUCCUAUGAAGCUUCAUUGCUCCCUAGGAUUGGCUUUGGGCCUUUCCUGCACAACUUAGGUGGAUGGCGAAGAAGGCCUCCUUCCAAGGGGGCCCAAGCCAUCGAUGAGAUACCACUCUAGAAGUGCUAGAAUUCUAACCUUGUGUUAAGACCUACAGGCCAAGGGACAGUCUCAGGUAGAUAGUUUCUAUGGGGAGUAGGCCUCCCAAAAUGUAACAGAGGCGUACAAAGGCUUCCUUGGGCCAAACGGAGAUUGCACUUUGAGUGUAAAGGUAGAAAGUAGAUUGACUGUAAGACCCACCCCUCAAGAAGGGAUGAAAGUUGGCCUUAGUGAUCUAACGGUGCCGACUGGAAGGACUUUCACUCAACAGAUAAAAGUUGCUCUAGGGAUAACAGGCUGAUCUUCCCCAAUAGCACACAUUGACGGGAAGGUUUGGCACCUUGAUGUCAGCUCUUCGCCACCUGGGGCUGUAGUAUGUUCUGAGGGUUGGGCUAUUCACCCAUUAAAGUAGUAUGUGAGUUGGGUUUAGAAUGUCGUGAAACAGUUCGGUCCAUAUCCGGUGUGGGCAUUAGGGAAUUGAGAGGACCUUUCCCUAGUGCGAGACGACCAGGAAGGAUACACCUCUGGUGUACCAGUUAUCAUGCCCAUGAUAAACACUGGGUAGCCGAGUUCGAAGUGGAUAACUACUAAAGUGGAUAACUGCUAAAAGCAUCUAAGUAGUAAGCCCAACACAAGAUAACUGCUCUCCUAUUCCAAUUUCCCCACAGUUUUCGAUAGCAUAGCUAAGACACCGAUGGGUUUUCUGCCCUUACAGGGGUGGAACGACAUAAUUUUUGAGAAUUCAAGAUAAGGUCAUAGUGAGACUG